Molecule: long non-coding RNA, 566 nt
Filed under: Homo sapiens (human)
Lineage: Eukaryota; Metazoa; Chordata; Mammalia; Primates; Hominidae
Description: non-protein coding lnc-GLE1-1:7
Source: RNAcentral
GCAGGAAAAUGGCAUGAACCCGGGAGGCGGAGCUUGCAGUGCGCCGAGAUAGCACCACUGCACUCCGUCCUGGGUGAAAGAGCGAGAUUCCGUCUCAAAAAAAAAAAAAAGGUGGGCCGGGCACAGUGGCUCACGCCAUGGUGAAAUCCCAUCUCUACAAAAAAAAAAAAAUACAAAACUUAGCCCAGUGUGGUGGCGGGCGUCUGUGAUCCCAGCUACUCAGGAGGCUGAGGCAGAGAAUUGCUUCAACUCGGGAGACGGAGGUUGCAGUGAGCCAAGAUUGUGCCACUGCACUCCAGCCUGGGCAGUAGAGUAGGUUUUUUGGCCUUGGGAAGGUCCUUCACCCGCUCUGAACCUCAGUAUCCCCACCUGUAAAACAAAAGAACUGGACAUGUCACUGUAGUUUUCAAACUAUGCUUGAUAGCAGUUCCUUAGCGAAGAGCUUCCCAGCUGGUGUGCCUUGGCAUGAUGACCUCAUUAGCCCUCCCAGACAAGGCCUGUGGUGGGUGAGCCCCCAGGAGCGGUUCCAUUCACAUUUCCUCUCCUUACCUUUGCCUUAAAAAUGG